AUGGAGCUUGGCGCCAAGCGGCUCAAAUGUAUUACCAAGGGGUUUAUGUCCCGGUUUGGAUGGCAUGCGAUUGACAGGUUUCUUAGUCUUUGCCUUGGUCGUACGAGGACCAAAUCGAUGUGUGGAUUACGAGCUGCCGCUGCAAGCGCCAGGCAUCCACCAAAGGAAUCUCCAACAAGAUAUAUCGGUCUAUUUGGUGAUAAAUCAUGCUCAUAUUGGAUAGACUUUUCGACAAUUUGUAAUAGCCCUUCCUACUUCUGCGGUGAGGGCUCUACAGGGGCAACAUGGUGGCGGACAGAAGACCUCACCAAAGAGGACGCCCGGGAGACAAGACCAAGCAAGUUAAUGCACAUACCAAAACUGGCUGGUCAGAAGGAUGCCACCGUUGCCUCUGUCCUCGGAGUGGCAAACUUGUGGAUUGAUUUCCGCGGGGCUCUCUUGGUGAAUCUAGUACAGUGGAAUGAGAUCAUACUGAGAGUCGCGGGGGUGCAACAAACUCAGGAGCAGGACUCGUUUAGGUGGGAUCUUCACACCACCCGGGUGUUUUCUGUAUUUGGCAUUGGUGGAUACGCUGGUCAGUUUUAG
RNAcentral lists this ribosomal RNA (585 nucleotides) under Triticum aestivum (bread wheat). RNAcentral describes it as "partial small subunit ribosomal RNA". Lineage: Eukaryota; Viridiplantae; Streptophyta; Magnoliopsida; Poales; Poaceae. The record is from RNAcentral.